This 521-nucleotide ribosomal RNA is filed under the name uncultured bacterium. RNAcentral's name for it is "partial 16S ribosomal RNA". It matches the Rfam family "Bacterial small subunit ribosomal RNA", at positions 28 to 523 of the family's 1533-position model. The record is from RNAcentral.
GACGAACGCUGGCGGCGUGCCUAAUACAUGCAAGUCGAGCGGGCCUCCGGAGGUGCUUGCACCUCCGGACGGCCAGCGGCGGACGGGUGAGUAACACGUGGGCAACCUGCCUUUGAGGCCGGGAUAACACCGGGAAACCGGUGCUAAUACCGGAUACGUCCUCUUUCGCGCCUGCGAGAGGGGAGAAAGACGGUCUUUAAGGCCGUCGCUCAAAGAGGGGCCCGCGGCGCAUUAGCUGGUUGGUGGGGCAAGGGCCUACCAAGGCGACGAUGCGGUGCCGACCUGAGAGGGUGAUGGGCCACACUGGGACUGGGACACGGCUCAGACUCCUGCGGGAGUCAGCAGUAGGGAAUCAUCCGCAAUGGGCGAAAGCCUGACGGUGCAACGCCGCGUGAGUGAGGAAGGUUUUCGGAUCGUAAAGCUCUGUUGUGAGGGAAGAACAGCAUCCGGAGGAAAUGCCGGAGGUUUGCCGGUACCUCACCAGAAAGCCCCGGCUAACUACGUGCCAGCCGCCGCCGUAA